This 251-nucleotide ribosomal RNA is filed under the name uncultured bacterium. Its description in RNAcentral is "partial 16S ribosomal RNA". It matches the Rfam family "Bacterial small subunit ribosomal RNA", at positions 524 to 774 of the family's 1533-position model. The record is from RNAcentral.
UACGUAGGGAGUGAGCGUUGUCCGGAUUUACUGGGUGUAAAGGGUGCGUAGGCGGCUAAGCAAGUCAGGCGUGAAAUAUAUAGGCUUAACCUAUAGACUGCGUUUGAAACUGCAUAGCUUGAGUGGAGUAGAGGCAGAUGGAAUUUCCAGUGUAGCGGUGAAAUGCGUAGAUAUUGGAAGGAACACCAGUGGCGAAGGCGAUCUGCUGGGCUCUAACUGACGCUGAGGCACGAAAGCAUGGGUAGCAAACA